This is a long non-coding RNA of Microcebus murinus (gray mouse lemur), 1390 nucleotides long. RefSeq lists it as uncharacterized. The record is from RefSeq and is a predicted model, not a curated record. Lineage: Eukaryota; Metazoa; Chordata; Mammalia; Primates; Cheirogaleidae.
CCCAUUUGUCUGUAAGUUCUCAUUUUCCUUUAAAGAAACCCAUACUCUAAUCUCAGUUAAUGUGUUAGAGGUGUGCUUUAUGCAAGAAUGAUGCCCUGUGCUCAAAGAAAAGGCCUUGCCCCUAUGUCGAAAGAUUGGCCAAUUGAUGAUAUGUCCUUUUUUUCUUUUCAGUUAAAAUGUUUGUGGAAAAAAGUUCCAGGGACCUUGUUGCUUUAACCUACUUUUCUACAGUCCAACUCCUGGUCCUCUCCUGAGGCAUAAGUUGGCUCGGACUGUACAUAAACUCAGCUCAUCACUACUUUCUGUUGCAUCACAACAAAUAGAGAGCUGUCGCAUGGCCUUUCCCACUGCCAAGCCACACACUGCCUCUUUGUGACUUCGUUUUCACAUCAAGCUUACUGUUGACGUGAGCUUUAGCCCCAUCUCUCCAACUCAACCCCCUUUGCCUCCCAAAUUAACUCUAGAGGGAAUGUGAUUUAUUCCAGGUGCCACAAACCUCACCUGGUAUUUAUAAACUCAUUUACCCAGGGAAUCCUCUGAUAUCCACCCAGAUCUAGAGGAGAUCCUCUGGCAUAGCACCUAGUUCCUUCCCUUCCUUGCUUCAAUCAACACAUAUCAGACACCUAUCAUGUGUUGGGGUCAGCACCAGGCUUUUCAUCUGUGCUCCCUGCAAUGAUCCAACGAUCUGCCACACAACCAGUUCCUUAGAAGAGAACAAUGCAACUCAAAAGAAAAGAAAGUGCUGGCAACAUGGGCGAGAGGGCUAGUAACUACAGGACUUCCCUCCAAUGUCUCUUCCAUGGCAGAGCCUGCAGACAUUGUACUACGUGUCCUUAGAUGAUGAGCUCCCCUGUCAGACUGUGAGAUCCUCUCACCCUUUUGUGUGUCAGCAUCAGCACAGUGGGUUCCUGGCACAGAGGAGAUACCCAGUAAAGAGCUCAUGAAUGAACAAAUAAAAUAAUGGUCCUUUCUGUGAAAAUACUCCUUUUCAAUUCAUUGUACAUCUUUGUGCAUUCACCUGAAACCACAGACUUUGGGUUCCUGUUCAUUUACAGAAUAGAUAUAUAUUUUCCUAAACAUACAAAUGAGAGAGAUUAGGGGUCACCUAGCACUAUUGUAUCAUUUUAUUUUAGACAUGGAUAUAUGAAUUAUGUAAAAAAUAGGUAUGUGAACAUACACAUACACUCUCAUAUGCCUUUGUCAACUUGGUGCAUGUAAUAACUUGAGAAAAUAAGAAUUCACACCACCAGGCACAUUCUACUGAAAGCUCUGGGCACUCUGGAGAAUGCUUCAUGAAUGUUAUUAAUAGUAUACUUUCUGAAAGGAAAGAAGAUCUUAAUGAUUCAUCAAUGAAAAAGGACUUUCCUCAUUGUUAGAAACGAGCCGUGAA